GACGAACGCUGGCGGCGUGCUUAACACAUGCAAGUCGAACGGAAAGGCCCUGCUUUUGUGGGGUGCUCGAGUGGCGAACGGGUGAGUAACACGUGAGUAACCUGCCCUUGACUUUGGGAUAACUUCAGGAAACUGGGGCUAAUACCGGAUAGGAGCUCCUGCUGCAUGGUGGGGGUUGGAAAGUUUCGGCGGUUGGGGAUGGACUCGCGGCUUAUCAGCUUGUUGGUGGGGUAGUGGCUUACCAAGGCUUUGACGGGUAGCCGGCCUGAGAGGGUGACCGGCGACAUUGGGACUGAGAUACGGCCCAGACUCCUACGGGAGGCAGCAGUGGGGAAUAUUGCACAAUGGGCGGAAGCCUGAUGCAGCAACGCCGCGUGCGGGAUGACGGCCUUCGGGUUGUAAACCGCUUUCGCCUGUGACGAAGCGUGAGUGACGGUAAUGGGUAAAGAAGCGCCGGCUAACUACGUG
Molecule: ribosomal RNA, 468 nt
Filed under: uncultured bacterium
Lineage: Bacteria
Description: partial 16S ribosomal RNA
Rfam family: Bacterial small subunit ribosomal RNA
Source: RNAcentral